UAGUAAAGCAAUCCCCCGCGGGAGCCCUGGCUACCGGGAUACGAUGCGCCGCGAUGCUAGUCGAUUCCUCCGACAUUCCGCGGGAAUACGGCAGGUACAUAAGCGACAUAUUCCCGAGGGGGAAACGGGAGUCGGCGGCGCAGGUGAAAACCGAUCGGCAGGGGGACGGCAGGAAGGACGAGCACAUGAUACGCGUAAUCGUCGCAGGUCGCGCAUGCUGGUGGGGAAUUUCACUGCGAGCGAGCGCGCAUGCACGUUUGUCGGAUGCGGAACGCAAAAAUCGCGCGCCCGAGAUAUCCGCAGAGAAACACAGAUUACGAGUCUAUCUAUCGCGAUCCAGCCCGGAAGAUAAAGGAAGCGCAGCCGGGCAUCGGUGCGGCGGCAGCGGAGGAAAGUUUCGCUCCUGACUCGCUUGACCUGCGCUCUAACGAAUUCUAACCGACGCCCUCCCCCCCCUCCCACCCCCGACGACGUCAACUCGACCGGGAUCAAAUAAUAACAAAUAAGUCGCAAAUAUGCGUCACUACAAUUGCGAGAGCUUACCACUUACGUGGCCGUUCGACCGUUGGCGUGACUGAUAAACAAAACGGCUUUCGAAGACUAACGGCUUUAUA
This is a long non-coding RNA of Dinoponera quadriceps, 614 nucleotides long. RefSeq lists it as uncharacterized. The record is from RefSeq and is a predicted model, not a curated record. The transcript has 2 exons. NCBI's taxonomy places the organism in Eukaryota, Metazoa, Arthropoda, Insecta, Hymenoptera, Formicidae.